UACGUAGGGUGCAAGCGUUGUCCGGAAUUAUUGGGCGUAAAGAGCUCGUAGGCGGUCUGUCGCGUCGGCUGUGAAAUCCCGAGGCUCAACCUCGGGUCUGCAGUCGAUACGGGCAAACUGGAGUGUUGCAGGGGAGACUGGAAUUCCUGGUGUAGCGGUGAAAUGCGCAGAUAUCAGGAGGAACACCGGUGGCGAAGGCAGAUCUCUGGGCCGUAACUGACGCUGAGGAGCGAAAGCAUGGGGAGCGAACAGG
Molecule: ribosomal RNA, 253 nt
Filed under: uncultured bacterium
Lineage: Bacteria
Description: partial 16S ribosomal RNA
Rfam family: Bacterial small subunit ribosomal RNA
Source: RNAcentral